RNAcentral lists this ribosomal RNA (472 nucleotides) under uncultured bacterium. Its description in RNAcentral is "partial 16S ribosomal RNA". It matches the Rfam family "Bacterial small subunit ribosomal RNA", at positions 28 to 507 of the family's 1533-position model. The record is from RNAcentral.
GACGAACGCUGGCGGCGUGCUUAACACAUGCAAGUCGAACGCUGAAGCUUUGUUCUUGCACUGGGUUGAUGAGUGGCGAACGGGUGAGUAAUACGUGUGUAACCUGCCCUUGACUCUGGGAUAAUCCUGGGAAACUGGGUCUAAUACUGGAUACGACAUUUCACCGCAUGGUGGUUUGUGGAAAUUGUUUUACUGGUUUUGGAUGGGCUCACGGCCUAUCAGCUUGUUGGUGGGGUAAUGGCUCACCAAGGCGACGACGGGUAGCCGGCCUGAGAGGGUGACCGGCCACACUGGGACUGAGACACGGCCCAGACUCCUACGGGAGGCAGCAGUGGGGAAUAUUGCACAAUGGGCGAAAGCCUGAUGCAGCGACGCCGCGUGAGGGAUGACGGCCUUCGGGUUGUAAACCUCUUUCAGCACGGAAGAAGCGAAAGUGACGGUACGUGCAGAAGAAGCGCCGGCUAACUACGUG